RNAcentral lists this transfer RNA (73 nucleotides) under Prunus campanulata (Taiwan cherry). RNAcentral's name for it is "tRNA-Thr". Lineage: Eukaryota; Viridiplantae; Streptophyta; Magnoliopsida; Rosales; Rosaceae. The record is from RNAcentral.
UUAUCCUUCAUCCUUUCGGAAGUUUCGAUGUAAGGAUUCCUUUACUAACACAAUGCAGCCAACUCCAUUUGUU